CAAAAUUAUUUAAUAUUUAUUUGUUAGAUCUAAAAACAACUUGAUUUGGAAGAAUAUUUCUUUGCUAACAUUGUAUACAUAUAAAAAAUUGACUCUUCGGUUCAUAAUUUCAUCCUUUUUUUUUUAAAUAUUCUAGAACCAAACUGAAUAUUAUGAUAAACGUUUUUUUCUUAUUUUAAACAGGAUCACACAUAGUUAACAUGAAACAAUGAUUCUACUUUACGUCGUUAGCCAUAGGCACUUUAAGAAUCAACAGAUAUUCAUGAAAGACCAAUAUCUGUGGAAUAAUAGUUGAAUAACCAGAUAAUCUUGAGUAAAGUUCAAGUUGAAUGUAGCCAGAGUUCCACCUUCUCCCUUGCUUAUCUGGGUUACAGUAGAUGUCAUCUUAAUUAAACAAGACAUUUCUUCCACAAACGUAGACUGCCCACAUAUACCCAUACCUCAAUACACCAUGUCAGAAUUGCGGCUAAUCCCAACCAUUACUAUAGAGGGAUAUCAGCAUGUGUAGGAUACAGGCACUUAGACUAUUCUGAAGCUAUCUGCAAAGAACUACUUUGAAUUCGUACCUAUUUUCUUGAGUUUCUCCUUAGAAACUAAUGUAUUAUAAAGAGAGGAA
Ceratotherium simum simum (southern white rhinoceros) is the source of this 616-nucleotide non-coding RNA. The record is from RefSeq and is a predicted model, not a curated record. NCBI's taxonomy places the organism in Eukaryota, Metazoa, Chordata, Mammalia, Perissodactyla, Rhinocerotidae.